ACUCUUCUCAUCAAAAGGCAUGUGGCAGGAAGUGGGGAGAAUUCUCUGAGCCUUAGGACUAUUUAAAUAGGAGGGAGAGGGGCCGGGCGGAGUGGCUCACGCCUGUAAUCCCAGCACUUUGGGAGGCCGAGGCAGGUGGAUCACGAGGUCAGGAGAUGGAGACCAUCCUGGCUAACACGGAUUUCUGGACUGGGUGAAUCUUAUCUGCAUUUGGCAAUCAUGAUUCUGAGACUGAAAUUGUGUAACUCUGGAAUUUUAGAGGUGACUGCGUGACAAUUCUGAGAGGCCAAUGCCAAUGAGAGAAAAGUUUACUGCUACUCAUGAUGGCGCCCCUGGAAGCAGAAGACACAGCACGCUAUAGAGGGCCAUGUGGGAAAGCACUGGAGUAGCUCCAGGCCGGGCUUGCCAGUCUCUCUGCACUCUGGAAGGAGUUUGCCUGGGUUGGGGUUGUCCCUUGGUAGAUUCCAAACCUUCAUUUUGUCAAUUUACUUAAAGGUGACUGGGUUUAAAGGGGCUGACUGAUUGUAAAUAACUUGGAGAAUAAAUCAAUAUUCAUUAAUAAAGUUAAAUAAUUCACGUAAAAUUAAA
RNAcentral lists this long non-coding RNA (588 nucleotides) under Homo sapiens (human). Its description in RNAcentral is "HSALNT0315228". The record is from RNAcentral. Lineage: Eukaryota; Metazoa; Chordata; Mammalia; Primates; Hominidae.